GGUAAUUUAGUCUUAUAAUCAAUAAAAAUGGAUCGAAUACAUAUAAAUAAAUAUAAAAAACAAAAAGAGUUAAAUUUAUCUUCCCAUCACCCCAACAAAAUAAAUUUUUACAUUAAAAAUUUACAUACAAAAAAAUAAAAAUAUAUAAAACUCUAUAGGGUCUUCUCGUCCCAAAAAAAUAUUUAGGCAUUUUAACCUAAAAUUUAAAUUCAAUAAAAAAAUAAAGACAGUUAUCACCUCGUCAAACCAUUCAUUCCAGCCUACAAUUAAAAGACUAAUGAUUAUGCUACCUUUGCACGGUCAAAAUACCGCGGCCCUUCAAUACAGUGGGCAGGUCAUACAUCAAAUUAUACAAGAAGAG
This 361-nucleotide ribosomal RNA is filed under the name Cryptocercus primarius. RNAcentral describes it as "partial 16S ribosomal RNA". The record is from RNAcentral. Lineage: Eukaryota; Metazoa; Arthropoda; Insecta; Blattodea; Cryptocercidae.